CAAGGGGGAUGUAUAAAUUUGGCUGGGGAGCAUUUUGUUGUCACGGGUGCUACGCCCCUGUCUGCGUCAUCACGAGUCGCCAGUCAGAGCUGUCUGUUUGGGUAAACCGUGUGGCUGGUGUUGGGUUGGCGUGUUUCCUCGCGGCAGCGUAUAGUCCAAGGUGAGCCGGAGAGAGAGCGGCGUUAAUAAUACCGACAGUGCCUGCCUUUACACGUUGUACCAUGGUGUGGUAGAUCUAUUAAAUCGAGUGAGCCUACGGGUGCACAGAAGUGCUGUGUACGCGAUUUCUGGGAAGACCCCACACACGAUCUACAGAACGAGCCUGCAGCUUUCGGGCUUACCCUUAUAGUAACCUGUGUUUCCGGAUCACUCAUCCCAAUGGUAUGUGUUUUAAAGGAGGUUUUUGUACGGCAGUUUCAUUAGAAGGCAUCACUGUGGUACACUUUUGGUGGAGGCUCCAAACUCAGUAUUAACAAGGCUCCCACUGUGUCUCUGCUCCCUCAGUCCCCCCUGCAGUCGUGUGAUGGCUCGCUGCUCUGCCUGCUGUCUGACUACUCUCCACAGGGGGCACUGGUGAGCUGGAUAGUGGACGGGUCAGAGGUGAAGGACGGGGUUCUGACCAGUGCAGAAGAAGAGAAGAACGGCCGUUACAGCCGCAGCAGCACCCUGACCCUCAGCAAAGACCUCUGGGGAAAAGCGGAGGAGUUUAUCUGUAAGGUCUCCCAUAGCAACGCCAUUCAUCCAGUCACGUUCAGAAAGAGUCAGUGUGAAGACUAGAGGAUCCAAGAUAGAGUUUAACAUCGAGCUGCUUCUGAUCUACACACUGCUGAUGUUUCUGUAUUUCCUCUCGUCACUGUGCUGUUGGUCUUCCUGUAGUUUCUGCUGAAAUAAAGCUGAGUUUUGGA
Molecule: long non-coding RNA, 905 nt
Organism: Silurus meridionalis
Lineage: Eukaryota; Metazoa; Chordata; Actinopteri; Siluriformes; Siluridae
Exons: 5
Source: RefSeq, a predicted model, not a curated record